CUGCUGAGGAGUCCCACAAUAGGACGAAACGGCCGUCCAG
Molecule: non-coding RNA, 40 nt
Organism: Schistosoma mansoni
Lineage: Eukaryota; Metazoa; Platyhelminthes; Trematoda; Strigeidida; Schistosomatidae
Source: Rfam